GUCUGCGUGUCGAAAUGGUUAUCAGGCAUGACUUAAAAUCAUGUGAGCUUUGUCUGCCCUUGCAGGUUCGAAUCCUGCCUCUGACG
This 86-nucleotide transfer RNA is filed under the name Glycine soja. It matches the Rfam family "tRNA". From Rfam's summary of the family: Transfer RNA (tRNA) molecules are approximately 80 nucleotides in length. Their secondary structure includes four short double-helical elements and three loops (D, anti-codon, and T loops). Lineage: Eukaryota; Viridiplantae; Streptophyta; Magnoliopsida; Fabales; Fabaceae. The record is from Rfam by way of RNAcentral.